GCCUAGGUGGCUCAGCGGUUGAGCACCUGUCUUUGGCUCAGGGUGUGAUCUCACCGUCGCGGGAUCGAGUCCCACAUCGGGCU
Molecule: non-coding RNA, 83 nt
Organism: Canis lupus familiaris (dog)
Lineage: Eukaryota; Metazoa; Chordata; Mammalia; Carnivora; Canidae
Source: Rfam